Molecule: long non-coding RNA, 258 nt
Organism: Amblyraja radiata (thorny skate)
Lineage: Eukaryota; Metazoa; Chordata; Chondrichthyes; Rajiformes; Rajidae
Exons: 4
Source: RefSeq, a predicted model, not a curated record
AACCCACAGGGGAAUGAAAUAAACCCGGUCUGUGGGUAAAACUGAGGUCAAUAAUGUUAUAAACCCACAGGGGAGUGAAAUAAACCCGGUCUGGGGGAAAACUGAGGUCAAUAAUGUUAUAAACCCACAGGGGAGUGAAAUAAACCCGGUAAAUCUGGGGAGAGCUGAGGUCAAUAAUGUUAUAAACCCACAGGGGAGUGAAAUAAACCCGGUCUGGGGGAGAGCUGAGGUCAAUAAUGUUAUAAACCCACAGGGAAG